Molecule: ribosomal RNA, 512 nt
Filed under: Gryllidae sp. GRILLADAE33
Lineage: Eukaryota; Metazoa; Arthropoda; Insecta; Orthoptera; Gryllidae
Description: partial large subunit ribosomal RNA
Rfam family: Bacterial large subunit ribosomal RNA
Source: RNAcentral
AAAAACAUGUCUUCUUGAUUUGAUAUGAAGUCGUAUCUGCCCACUGAGUAGUUGAAUGGCCGCGGUAUAUUGACCGUGCAAAGGUAGCAUAAUCAUUAGUCUUUUAAUUGGAGGCUGGAAUGAAUGAUUUGACGAAACAACAACUGUCUCGGAAUGAUGUAUUGAAUUUUACUUUUGAGUUAAAAGGCUCAAAUGAAGAUAGGGGACGAGAAGACCCUAUAGAUCUUGAUAUUAGAUAUUAAAAUUUAUGUUUGGUAGUUUUUUGUAGAUAUUGAUAUCUUAUGUUUGGUUGGGGUGACAAGGGAAUAAUUUAACUUCUUUUUAUUUAACUGUGAUGGUUGGUUAAUUGAUCCUAUAUUAUGGAAUGAAGAUAAAGAUACCUUAGGGAUAACAGCGUAAUGUUAUUGGAGAGUUCAUAUUGAUAAUAAAGAUUGCGACCUCGAUGUUGGAUUAAGAAAAUUGUUAAGUGCAGGAGCUUAAUUUAUUGGUCUGUUCGACCAUUAAAUUCUUAC